CAAUAAGCGGAGGAAAAGAAACUAACAAGGAUUCCCCUAGUAACGGCGAGUGAAGCGGGAAGAGCUCAAAUUUGUAAUCUGGCGGUCUAUGGCCGUCCGAGUUGUAGUCUGGAGAAGCGUUUUCUGCGUCGGACCGUGUACAAGUCCCUUGGAACAGGGCGUCACAGAGGGUGAGAAUCCCGUCUUUGACACGGACUGCCGGCGCUUUGUGAUGCGCUCUCGAAGAGUCGAGUUGUUUGGGAAUGCAGCUCAAAACGGGUGGUAAAUUCCAUCUAAAGCUAAAUAUUGGCGAAAGACCGAUAGCGAACAAGUACCGUGAGGGAAAGAUGAAAAGCACUUUGGAAAGAGAGUUAAACAGUACGUGAAAUUGUUGAAAGGGAAACGCUUGAAGUCAGUCGCGUCUCCCGGGACUCAGCCUUGCGUUUCUCGCCUGGCGUACUUCCCGGGACGACGGGCCAGCAUCGGUUUUGACCGUCGGAAAAAGGCUUUGGGAAUGUGGCACCUUCGGGUGUGUUAUAGCCCUCGGUCGUAUGCGACGGUUGGGAUCGAGGACCGCAGCACGCCUUUAUGGUCGGGGUUCGCCCACGUAACGUGCUUAGGAUGCUGGCGUAAUGGCUUUAAGCGACCCGUC
RNAcentral lists this ribosomal RNA (631 nucleotides) under Ramaria persicina. Its description in RNAcentral is "partial large subunit ribosomal RNA". It matches the Rfam family "Eukaryotic large subunit ribosomal RNA", at positions 44 to 653 of the family's 3401-position model. The record is from RNAcentral. Lineage: Eukaryota; Fungi; Basidiomycota; Agaricomycetes; Gomphales; Gomphaceae.